GAAAUAGCUCAGUUGCUUAGAGCGUGGUGCUCAUAAUGCCAAGGUUUCAGGUUCUAUCCCUGUACAGGACAGCUGCA
Non-coding RNA from Podarcis lilfordi (Lilford's wall lizard), 77 nucleotides. The record is from the annotation of a GenBank genome assembly. NCBI's taxonomy places the organism in Eukaryota, Metazoa, Chordata, Lepidosauria, Squamata, Lacertidae.